AAACACCCAUCCACACCCCAGGGCUAACUGACCAGGACCCAGCUUCCGCCCGAACCAAAAUUUUCGGGAUGAGAAGGCCCAAAACAAAAAAACUUUUACCCCAUUAGGAGAAUCUUACACCGCUUUAUUCCAUAGUCUGAAACAGUUGGGAAUGUUAACCCCAAUUGAGCCCAAAAUACCAAACCAACCUUCCAAAAACCUGGACCGAUCCGUCAGUUGUGAGUAUUGCUCGGGAAUGCCAGGGCAUGAAACUGAAAAAUGUUGGAAGUUGAAGAAUGCAGUACAUGAGCUUAUUGACAACCGCUGAAUUGAAGUACAGGCCCCAGAGGCACCGAAUAUCAAUCAGAAUCCGCUGCCAGCACAUCACGAGACUAACAUGAUUGAGUUAGUACACAAGGAUGGGGAAGUGAAGAAGCCAUCACAAACCGUGAUGAUGAUUCGUGCUGUUUAGGAUAGUUCAAGAGAAAAGCCGACAGGGGAACAGACAUGGAUAAAGUUGUCUCACAAACUGUGAUGAUGAUUCGUUCUGUUGAGGAUAGUUUAAGAGAAAAGGCGACAGGGGAACAGAAAGGGAUUAAGUUGAAAGGUACAAAUGACAAACCAGUGGUAGUAAUUGGGAAAGAAUUAUCUGUUGUUGCAAAGAAACUAGAACCGGUUAAUUUGAUAGUGCGGGGGGCGUCACCCGCGCCCGUAGUUGUUGUAAAAGGUGCUUACAUCGAGCCAGUGAUCAUCAAGCCAGUGGUUCAGUUACUCGUGGUUGAUAGCAAAGCUGUGCCAUGGAAAUAUGAGAAGGUGAUAGUAAUAUACAAAGGAAAAGAAAUUGAGGAAGAGAGCUGUGAGGCACAAGGGUUGACUCGAUCAGGCGGUUGCUUCACUCCCGAAGAGUUGAGAAAGGCUAGGGCUACUAAAGACAGUCCAUCAUUGGUCAAGAAAGCUGUUACGGAGGAAGAGGCAGAGGAGUUUCUAAAAAAAGAUGAAGGUACAUGACUAUUCUAUUGUGGAGUAGUUGAAGAAAUACCAGCCCAGAUUUCGAUGUUGUCAUUAUUGGUACACUCCAAUGAACAUCGCCGAGCUUUGAUGAAAAUACUAAAUGAAGCCCAUGUGCCUGAUAAGAUUCCAGUGAACCACUUGGAAACAAUUGCUAAUAGGAUCUUCGAGGUAAACAGGAUAACGUUCUCGGAUGAUGAGUUGCCUGUAGAAGG
This 1202-nucleotide long non-coding RNA is filed under the name Nicotiana benthamiana. RNAcentral describes it as "long non-coding RNA (NBEN_LNC027195)". The record is from RNAcentral. Lineage: Eukaryota; Viridiplantae; Streptophyta; Magnoliopsida; Solanales; Solanaceae.